CUACGUAGGGUGCGAGCGUUAAUCGGAUUUACUGGGCGUAAAGCGCGCGUAGGUGGCUAAUUAAGUCAAAUGUGAAAUCCCCGAGCUUAACUUGGGAAUUGCAUUCGAUACUGGUUAGCUAGAGUAUGGGAGAGGAUGGUAGAAUUCCAGGUGUAGCGGUGAAAUGCGUAGAGAUCUGGAGGAAUACCGAUGGCGAAGGCAGCCAUCUGGCCUAAUACUGACACUGAGGUGCGAAAGCAUGGGGAGCAAACAGGAUUAGAUACCCUGGUAGUCCAUGCCGUAAACGAUGUCUACUAGCCGUUGGGGCCCUUGAGGCUUUAGUGGCGCAGCUAACGCGAUAAGUAGACCGCCUGGGGAGUACGGUCGCAAGACUAAAACUCAAAUGAAUUGGCGGGG
RNAcentral lists this ribosomal RNA (396 nucleotides) under uncultured bacterium. RNAcentral's name for it is "partial 16S ribosomal RNA". It matches the Rfam family "Bacterial small subunit ribosomal RNA", at positions 523 to 918 of the family's 1533-position model. The record is from RNAcentral.